GGAGAUGUAGUUUAGUGGUAGAGCACUGCUUGCCUACUGUGCACGAGGCCCUGGGUUUGAUCCCAGCAUUUCAA
Molecule: transfer RNA, 74 nt
Filed under: Fukomys damarensis (Damara mole-rat)
Lineage: Eukaryota; Metazoa; Chordata; Mammalia; Rodentia; Bathyergidae
Rfam family: tRNA
About the family: Transfer RNA (tRNA) molecules are approximately 80 nucleotides in length. Their secondary structure includes four short double-helical elements and three loops (D, anti-codon, and T loops).
Source: Rfam by way of RNAcentral